CGCUGGCGGCAUGCCUAACACAUGCAAGUCGAACGGGGGUAGCAAUACCCUAGUGGCGAACGGGUGAGUAACACAUAAGCAAUCUGCCCUUCACAGGGGGAUAACAGCGGGAAACUGCUGCUAAUACCGCAUAAGACCACGGUACCGCAUGGUACAGGGGUAAAAACGAAUCAGUGGUGAAGGAUGAGCUUAUGUCCCAUUAGCUAGUUGGUGAGAUAACAGCCCACCAAGGCGACGAUGGGUAGCCGACCUGAGAGGGUGAUCGGCCACACUGGAACUGAGACACGGUCCAGACUCCUACGGGAGGCAGCAGUGGGGAAUAUUGGGCAAUGGAGGAAAAACCUCUUACCCAGCAAUGCCGCGUGAGUGAAGAAGGUCUUCGGAUUGUAAAGCUCUUUGAUUGGGGACGAAGAAAGUGACGGUACCCAAAGAACAAGCCCCGGCUAACUACGUGCCAGCCGCAGC
This 465-nucleotide ribosomal RNA is filed under the name uncultured bacterium. RNAcentral describes it as "bacterial SSU rRNA". It matches the Rfam family "Bacterial small subunit ribosomal RNA", at positions 34 to 518 of the family's 1533-position model. The record is from RNAcentral.